This 1056-nucleotide long non-coding RNA is filed under the name Monodelphis domestica (gray short-tailed opossum). Its description in RNAcentral is "lncRNA (ENSMODG00000030842.2)". Lineage: Eukaryota; Metazoa; Chordata; Mammalia; Didelphimorphia; Didelphidae. The record is from RNAcentral.
CUGGGCUGUUCGUCUUCCCUCUGUCUAAGGAGCCGGUGCGGGGGCCUGCUCGUAAACUCCGGGCUCGGUGCCGGGUGGGCUGGGGCCCCCAGUGGGGAGGCCAGCCUCAGGGCUGAUUGAUGACCUGUGGAUGCUUCCUGAUGCCACCAGCGUGUUUUAUGAUGUCAUUAGGAGACUUCAGCCGCAUUAAGGAAUCCCUCAUGACAUCAUAAAGGACUUGAUAUUUCGCUAAUGUUAUUUCGGUGGAGAGGCGCGGGGACAUUUUAUCGUCCCCAACACUCCCCCAAGAAUUAGGAGUUGUCUAACAGCAUCCAGGAAGAAAUGCAAAACUAGUCAAAUUCACACUCCCGGGGCGAUGGCUAGAGAAUGCUAAUAGGCCUGGGCUCCUCGGGGCCCCGCCGCAGUUUUAGGUGGGAAACAUGAUGUGCUUGUCAAAGCGGGCCCAAAAAGUCAUUCUACCCAGCGCUGACUUUCCCGGAAACUGGGCACCAUUUGUUUGGGAAAACGCGAGCUGAGGCCGGAGGGCCCUCGUAGGGAGUCCGGAAAGCGUGACCUCUGGUCCUUCUGUGACCUUGGUCAAGACUUUUCAUUGCUCUAGGAUUCGCCGUCCGUCACGAUGGGCUGGUCCCUCUGUGAGUUUGAGUGCCGAGCCCAGGCAGGACCCAACCGCUCCACAAAGAACUGGGCAUUAAAGCGAUCCGUGAUCUGGGCUCCAUCUCAACCCUGCCCUCAGCUGAGAAAACUGAGGCCCAUACUUGUCAAAGGUCAUGUAAGUAGGAAACAGAAGAGCCAAAGCCAAUAUUCUUUCCACUCUAAGCCUCUGGGCCAUAUUCCCAGCCUCUGGCCAGAGAGGCCUCUUCCAACUCUGGCGUUCUGUGCUUCCAGAGCCCGGGUGAAGGGCAGCUCCCAGGCCACCAGACAGGGGAAUGCUGGAUGAGAUGACGUCAUGGAGGAGCGAGCCAAUGCCCAGCUUCGGCUGCCUCGAAAGCAGUCUCGGCCACUCCAAACAAGAGGGGAUUGGUUUCACUAAUUGGUUUGAAUAAUUCUUUUGACCCU